CUACAGAGGGUGCGAGCGUUAAUCGGAAUUACUGGGCGUAAAGCGCGCGUAGGCGGCUUAUUAAGUCAGAUGUGAAAUCCCCGGGCUCAACCUGGGAACUGCAUCUGAUACUGGUAAGCUAGAGUUUUGGAGAGGGAAGUAGAAUUUCAGGUGUAGCGGUGAAAUGCAUAGAGAUCUGAAGGAAUACCAGUGGCGAAGGCGACUUCCUGGCCAAAAACUGACGCUGAGGUGCGAAAGCGUGGGUAGCAAACAGGAUUAGAUACCCUAGUAGUCC
This 274-nucleotide ribosomal RNA is filed under the name uncultured bacterium. RNAcentral describes it as "partial 16S ribosomal RNA". It matches the Rfam family "Bacterial small subunit ribosomal RNA", at positions 523 to 796 of the family's 1533-position model. The record is from RNAcentral.